UGGGGAAUUUUGGACAAUGGGCGCAAGCCUGAUCCAGCCAUGCCGCGUGCGGGAAGAAGGCCUUCGGGUUGUAAACCGCUUUUGUCAGGGAAGAAAUCUUCUGAGUUAAUACCUCGGGAGGAUGACGGUACCUGAAGAAUAAGCACCGGCUAACUACGUGCCAGCAGCCGCGGUAAUACGUAGGGUGCAAGCGUUAAUCGGAAUUACUGGGCGUAAAGCGUGCGCAGGCGGUUUUGUAAGACAGAGGUGAAAUCCCCGGGCUCAACCUGGGAACUGCCUUUGUGACUGCAAGGCUUGAGUGCGGCAGAGGGGGAUGGAAUUCCGCGUGUAGCAGUGAAAUGCGUAGAUAUGCGGAGGAACACCGAUGGCGAAGGCAAUCCCCUGGGCCUGCACUGACGCUCAUGCACGAAAAGCGUGGGGAGCAAAACAGGAUUAGAUAGCCCCUGGUAGUCCACGCCCUAAAACGAUGUCAACUGGUUGUUGGGAAGGUUCCUUCUCAGUAACGUAGCUAACGCGUGAAGUUGACCGCCUGGGGAGUACGGCCGCAAGGUUG
Molecule: ribosomal RNA, 553 nt
Filed under: uncultured bacterium
Lineage: Bacteria
Description: partial 16S ribosomal RNA
Rfam family: Bacterial small subunit ribosomal RNA
Source: RNAcentral